GUGUCAGCAGCCGCGGUAAUACGGAGGGUGCGAGCGUUGUCCGGAUUUAUUGGGUUUAAAGGGUGCGUAGGCGGCCCGUCAAGUCGGCGGUGAAAUUCCACGGCUCAACCGUGGGUGUGCCGAUGAAACUGACGGGCUUGAGUGUCGGCGGGGUACAUGGAAUUCAUGGUGUAGCGGUGAAAUGCAUAGAUACCAUGAGGAACCCCGAUAGCGUAGGCAUUGUACUUGCCGACCACUGACGCUGAUGCACGAAAGCGCGGGUAUCGAACAGGAUUAGAUACCCUGGUAGUCCGCGCCGUAAACGAUGAUCACUCGCUGUUCCGGGCUUGCCCCGGGGCGGCCAAGCGAAAGCGUUAAGUGAUCCACCUGGGGAGUACGGCCGCAAGGCUGAA
This 392-nucleotide ribosomal RNA is filed under the name uncultured bacterium. RNAcentral's name for it is "bacterial SSU rRNA". It matches the Rfam family "Bacterial small subunit ribosomal RNA", at positions 505 to 898 of the family's 1533-position model. The record is from RNAcentral.